RNAcentral lists this ribosomal RNA (491 nucleotides) under uncultured bacterium. Its description in RNAcentral is "partial 16S ribosomal RNA". It matches the Rfam family "Bacterial small subunit ribosomal RNA", at positions 29 to 507 of the family's 1533-position model. The record is from RNAcentral.
GUGAACGCUGGCGGUAGGCCUAACACAUGCAAGUCGAACGGCAGCACAGUAAGAGCUUGCUCUUACGGGUGGCGAGUGGCGGACGGGUGAGGAAUACAUCGGAAUCUACUUUUUCGUGGGGGAUAACGUAGGGAAACUUACGCUAAUACCGCAUACGACCUACGGGUGAAAGCAGGGGAUCUUCGGACCUUGCGCGAUUGAAUGAGCCGAUGUCGGAUUAGCUAGUUGGCGGGGUAAAGGCCCACCAAGGCGACGAUCCGUAGCUGGUCUGAGAGGAUGAUCAGCCACACUGGAACUGAGACACGGUCCAGACUCCUACGGGAGGCAGCAGUGGGGAAUAUUGGACAAAGGGCGCAAGCCUGAUCCAGCCAUACUGCGUGGGUGAAGAAGGCCUUCGGGUUGUAAAGCCCUUUUGUUGGGAAAGAAAAGCAGCAGGUUAAUACCCCGCUGUUCUGACGGUACCCAAAGAAUAAGCACCGGCUAACUUCGUG